GGGAGUUCCACGCGCGAGCUUGUGGGUUUGAAUUACCUGGAGAGGGAAGGGCGGAAGGGCCGAGACGCGAAGCGACCGCGAGCAUGUGGAAGACGAACGGACGGGGGAAAGGGAAAGGAAUAGAGAAAAAGAGACAGCGAGGUCGAGCAAGCCGGCCGAAGCUGCAAGCAGUCUAAAACUGUCUGAGUCCAGGAAAGCAUGCUGCCGGGACUUAGACCAAUUUUGCUCUGCAAGUUUACCUUGCUCUAAGUGCCAGUUUCUCAAUUAGUUACUCCUAAGUGUAAUGUUCCAAGUGCAAGUGCAUCUCGUACCAUCAUGUUUGAUCCUGAUAAAAUAAUACAGUGUCAACUGUGUCACAACUGUGUCUCGUCAGUUGUCUCGUCAGUUUGUGGAAAAGAGAAAUGCAUCGAAGACCACGCGUGAAAUAAUCUACGCACAAACAUAAACCCGGCUGGACCCACCGACAAUGUGUGUACGCGGAACAAUGUGUUCGACGGAUGCCACUACCGCCACCAACGCAUACCUCACACACAGCCAACGCUGCAUAGCGCCAGGAAUGCACGAAUA
Anopheles cruzii is the source of this 567-nucleotide long non-coding RNA. RefSeq lists it as uncharacterized. The record is from RefSeq and is a predicted model, not a curated record. The transcript is spliced from 3 exons. Lineage: Eukaryota; Metazoa; Arthropoda; Insecta; Diptera; Culicidae.